Long non-coding RNA from Clarias gariepinus (North African catfish), 218 nucleotides. RefSeq lists it as uncharacterized. The record is from RefSeq and is a predicted model, not a curated record. NCBI's taxonomy places the organism in Eukaryota, Metazoa, Chordata, Actinopteri, Siluriformes, Clariidae. The transcript is spliced from 3 exons.
AUUCGAGUUGAGACUGUUGGACAUGAGACCAGAAACUUGUCCGAUAGACUUUUUAUAAAUUUCCCAGUAAACAGUACUGAAAUAAUGACUGGAAACUACAGCCUCUUAUGUCAGUUCUAUAAUCAAACAGUGAACAAGUGGGAUGUCAUGGGGUCUUUCACCAACCUGGAGAACUUUAACAGCAGCAACACUGUAAACUGUUCAUAUAAUCACAUGAC